GAUGAACGCUGGCGGCGUGCCUAAUACAUGCAAGUCGAGCGAAGCGGGGACGGGUGAGUAACACGUGGAUAACCUCCUAUAAGACUGGGAUAACUUCGGGAAACCGGAGCUAAACCCGUUUCUUAUAUUUGGAUUCUCGCUGCAUUAGCUUGUUGGUAAGGUAACGGCUUACCAAGGCAACGAUGCCUAGCCGACCUGAGAGGGUGAUCGGCCACACUGGAACUGAGACACGGUCCAGACUCCUACGGGAGGCAGCAGUAGGGAAUCUUCCGCAAUGGGCGAAAGCCUGACAGAGCAACGCCGCGUGAGUGAUGAAGGUCUUCGGAUCGUAAAACUCUGUUAUUAGGGAAGCGGUACAUAAAGAGAAAGCCACGGCUAACUCCGUGCCAGCAGCCGCGGUAAUAG
RNAcentral lists this ribosomal RNA (405 nucleotides) under uncultured bacterium. Its description in RNAcentral is "partial 16S ribosomal RNA". It matches the Rfam family "Bacterial small subunit ribosomal RNA", at positions 28 to 526 of the family's 1533-position model. The record is from RNAcentral.